RNAcentral lists this ribosomal RNA (4628 nucleotides) under Triticum aestivum (bread wheat). RNAcentral's name for it is "partial small subunit ribosomal RNA". The record is from RNAcentral. Lineage: Eukaryota; Viridiplantae; Streptophyta; Magnoliopsida; Poales; Poaceae.
CCACCGAUGUGUUGCAUUGUCACUUGAACUUCUACGCGGGAGUCGGCAACCUAGGAGCACGAGCCCGGGGCAAUGGACUGCCACACUCCGAGGCUCGGAGGCUGCUGAGGGCGCGGCAGGCGGCGCGGGCGGACGGAAGAGGGGCCGGCCGUAGCUUGCGGAGGUCGUCAGGGGAGCGGGCGGUGUGCGGUGGAGGUCUCGGGCACGCCGAGCCACCGUUGCGGUGGUGACCGGCGGCGGACGGGCGGCUGCGGCGCGCUCGGAGCGGAUCUAAAGGAGGCAGGCCUAGACGUCGGACGCCGAGCGACCUAAACGAGAGCAGGCGACGGAGGAGGCGCCGCCGGGGUCGUUUUUAAGCUACCCGUCCGGUUGGGAGUGAAGCUGCCGCACCUUCUGCUCACUCACUCGUCAUCAACGGCCACUCAAGACGGCAUCUAAGGAUUAAAAGGUACGAUUUAACCUACUUUAUGCGGUUUUCUUAGGUCAAAAGUUACGACACAACGGGGUAAGUCUAAGUCAAUACUUCGUACAAUCCCGGUGUGCUUUAAAGAGGGGUCACACCUCUGAACAAUAGAAGAGACUUGAAGAACUUGGACGAAUCGUCAACAUCCAACCCAUCCCACUGCGACCCCUGUACGACCUACGAAGCAAACCACUAAAGCAAUUACUUUAGCCUCUCUUGGGGGAGAAAGCUAAUUUUUCUUGUGCUUUAACGUUACGUCUUAGUCAAACGAGAAACACCAGAACCCAGCUGCGAUAGUUUAGAGUUUUGAAGUCACCUGCAGUCACCUAACCAAACAGAAGCACAGGCGUCCAAUGUUAGUGCCAUACUCGUACUCGGUCCUGAUCAGAAUGUCGUAGAAACACAGCGACAGUUUUAUUAACAGUGAAAACGAGAACCUUAAAUAUAAAACGAGUGACGUUAAGAUGAUCACUGUCGUGUAAUGAGUCGGACGUGUGCAAAAGAAAGAGUUCAGAAACAAAAUAAGAAGAUGAAAAGAAAUGGGAACGUAGUGCAAGUCCCACUCUACUGGACAUAGUUCAGUUCAGUUGAAUCAGCUCGAAUUGAGGUCCGGGUAAGGAAGGUCGUCUUUUUUUAGAAAUUUACCGGAGGUGCGUGUUUCCAUCUAGUGGGUUCGAGGUCAGAUUUGGUGAGGUUGAGGAACCAAGAAGGUGUAGGACAUUUGACCUUAGUACGGGAGUUACAAAUGAGAUGAGAUAUAAAAUGAGUAGGAAAAGAGGCAGUCCUGAUGUUAUGAGCUUCGUCGUGUUCGUUUGUUCAGCCUCUAACUAGCGGUCCGGGAGGAGACGAAGUUCAGGCCGUAGUCGAGAAUAGGGGAACCAUAGGAUCUGAGUACCUCGUUGUUGAGUGAAUUGAAAACGCCGACCUUUCCCCAGUGAACGCCGUGUUUCAAAGGUGGGGCCCACCAGAGAGAAUUGAAGUUGAUACGAGCAGAGUCACCCUUCAAUAGACCUACGGACCCGUUGAACUGUAAAGAUAGGUCCUACUUGGAACGGAUAUUAUUAGAAAGCCCUUGAUAGGGACUUCUGAACCCAUACGAAGGUUUGGAGGUAUGUGACUUAGAACGGCCGUCGAUAGAAGUUCCAUUGUAGGGGUAAAGGAAUCCGCGAUCGUUAAGUGAAUCGAUACAGUUAGUACCUUUGUUGUGAGAUUGUCCGCCGUAGGGAGAGAGUAACUGGUUAACGAGGAGUGAGUUGUGUGAAUAUAACAGUGCAUUAUUGGAGAGACCUCUCUAGGGAAGAUGAAACAAACUAUUGAAUAGAUUCGAAUGAUUCCAACUAGAGGUCUUCUUAAGAAAAUGACCAGAGUAGGGUGCAAAGGUAUUCCAGUGUCGUGAGUUUAAAGAAACGGACUGUCUCUUGAAGGAGAGACCUUUGUAUGGAGAAAGUUAUCCUUUACAAAGAAGGGAGUGAAGAUAUAACGAGCCGGUUUUAUUCGAUAGUCCUAAUUAAGGUCUUUGAUAUCCAGUGUGAUGUUUUGACGAACUCGAACUGGAUUCAAAGUUGUCAAAUAGUCCAUUACAGGGCCAAAGGGACAUAUUGUACAGUAGUGAGUUUUUGAAAUCACAACCGUCGUUACCGGAACAACCUGUCAAUGGUAGAAUGUAACCAGUGAGUGAUGGUUGGGAGGCCAGGGAUUAAUACCCUUCGUUGUCCGACCUCCCGAACUAGGGAUGAAGUGAUCGGUUGUACAGUUUAGAAGUUUACGAACUAGAAAGUCUGUUGAGCGAUUUACCGGCACAGGGUAGAGAACCAAGAAACCGUUUGAACUCAGUCAAUCAAAACCCCUCGUUGAACGAUCUUCGUGUACUGACCAGUAAAGAAUGUAGAGAUCGUUUAACGUGGGUCGAAUGUUUCAACAGGAACCUUCCCUUACCAAACUUACCGUCGAAUGGACGUCGUCAACAAUUAGAAAGGUGCUCCGACGUUCUAAACAGCGAACCCAGUUUGGUUUAAAGUCCGAGGUAUGGACAACUUUAAUCGUUAGAACAAUUAGAGUGUAGAGAAUCCUACCUUUCAUUAAAAGAAAGACCUUCGUAUGGAAGAUGGUAACCUUUCGACGUUUUGGAUAUACAGGAUUUAGAUAGUUUCUUGUUUAAUAGUCCAGUCUAGGGAGGGAGUCAGCCACUGUAAUGAGUUGACCCGUUCGAAAUAGAACUACUAUUGUUGAACUCACCUUUGUAUGGACUAUCAAAUCCAGUCACGUUCCCUGAAGAACUUGAUUUGAACAGAUGAUUGUCGGAACUACCCAGUUAUGGUCAGUUUGAAAAACUAGCGGGAGGUGAAAGGAACCCACACCUGAAAAGCAUGUUGUUCGAGUAUCCUCUUUAUGGUAGUCUUCAACCAUUAAACCGUUUAGAACGAGAAAACUUACAAAGGUUGUUAUACAACAAACCUUGCUAAGGACUUCGAGAACCUUCGACAGAAUGAAAUAACAAGAACGCGUACCUCUUUUUGUACGAACUUCCCGUUUAAGGAGUUUCAAAGUCCUUCAACGCCAGGUAGGUCGUCUAAUUAGAUCGAGCUUUAUUAAAUAGACCAAGUCACGGUAUGAAGAAACCGCUGAAGUGAAACAACCUGUUCGACCUAGAUAGUAUGUUGUUGAAACUUCCCGUUUAAGGGAGACCACCUACGAAAUCCUUGAGCUCAUACCAUCAAAACCUACCGUUAUUCUACAACACACGUUCUCAGAGGUACGAUCCCGAAGCUUAAACACUACUGUGGGUCUGUUUCUUGGUACACGGAAACGAUUCUUAUCAUUACUAUUAAUGUGGCGAUUAACGACCACACAAUGACAAUACAAACCAACAGUGACAAACCUUUUCUUCCCGCGUUGAAUGUAAAGGUUCCACAUUAUUCUAAGGGCCACACAAUACAAAUCAACGGUUGGCCUUCUUUUCUCUUCGUCAACGGUUGGUCUUCUAUUCUCUUCACCAACGUACAAGAUUGGUGUUCCUCUGAGACUUCUUCUAUAGUAUACCACUGUAAGACUUUCGAUGGUUGACCAAAACAAGCCAGGUAUGAUAGUCGAGUUGGACAUGGCCUAGUCAAAUACAGCCAUCCAAGUUCAGACUGUCCUCGGAUCAACGAUAGUUUCAUAAGUUGGACUUACUCGGACCACCUAUACCAUCAAUGAAAUGGCUCACACUCCACGAUGCUUCGUGGGCGGUGGCCUUAUAUUACGCCGGAUACUGGGAUACGAGCUGUGAACUAAGUUUUUUGGUACUCAAGUUUCGUGACCAGAAGUUCAAGUACCAAUUACCGUCGGAACUGUCUACCAACGUGAGACUCGUCGUGUUACAUUAGGGUCUGUCUCACGAUUCGAAACCGGUCUCCUAUACGUAUCGUUGUCUACAGCGAAGACGAGACCUAAUACAAGUGUUGGUUGACUGCGGAGGAAACUAGGUGACACUAAACUUCGGUGUGUUACAGGAAAACCUGCUAUUGUACUGCCGUGCCGAGUCACUGAAACCGAGUCGUUUCAAAGAUAAUGGUCCGGUCCAAUAAGCAUUUUCGGACCAACUACAGCCUCCCUGAUAACCCAUGUAUCGUGGACUCAUGCCCGACCCGACGUUCUAGAGACAUCCUCGACUGCACAUAUCAAAACCUCACGAAGACGAUCUCAACGAAUGGCCUUUUGCUGGUUGGCUACUAUACAAGUAGCUACCCGAGUGGGAAGGGUAAAAGAGACUUAGGUACAAGGGACCGGAUCAACGCCUCUACGAUCUAGGAGUAUACCGCGUACUCCUCGUAGUUCCCACGCAUCUUCGUACCUACGUCUCUAUAUAACAGGGCAACCAACGAGACCCCGACAGUACAUGACACCUUAGAGGUUUCCUGUCUGGACCUUACUUUCUACAAACACGUUUUGAAAGAAGAGAGUCUCUGCUGAAAGACCUUGCGGUAGUACUGCUAACUGAUUAUAAACUCGAGACAAUCUCGUACGACUAAACAAUAGCAAUUCUUACAUUAAACCGUAUUAGGAAACAACGCCCAAACGACUAAUAAAAGUAAAACUAGAAUUCCACAUACAUACCGCUUUAAGGAAUCAUCGUAUUUGACAUGACAAAUAUAGUUCCAUAAAAAGACAGUUUAGAAUGUAGGUC